RNAcentral lists this unclassified non-coding RNA (81 nucleotides) under Halpernia frigidisoli. Its description in RNAcentral is "Chryseobacterium frigidisoli Flavo-1 RNA". Lineage: Bacteria; Pseudomonadati; Bacteroidota; Flavobacteriia; Flavobacteriales; Weeksellaceae. The record is from RNAcentral.
ACUGCAGCCCGACCUGAGUGGAGCUCUUUUUGUGAGGCGCAAAGCCGAACAAAAAAGCAGGAACGGAGGGCGGAAAAAGCU